This 497-nucleotide ribosomal RNA is filed under the name uncultured bacterium. RNAcentral describes it as "partial 16S ribosomal RNA". It matches the Rfam family "Bacterial small subunit ribosomal RNA", at positions 28 to 507 of the family's 1533-position model. The record is from RNAcentral.
GAUGAACGCUGGCGGCGUGCCUAAUACAUGCAAGUCGAGCGAACAGACGAGGAGCUUGCUCCUCUGACGUUAGCGGCGGACGGGUGAGUAACACGUGGAUAACCUACCUAUAAGACUGGGAUAACUUCGGGAAACCGGAGCUAAUACCGGAUAAUAUAUUGAACCGCAUGGUUCAAUAGUGAAAGACGGUUUUGCUGUCACUUAUAGAUGGAUCCGCGCCGCAUUAGCUAGUUGGUAAGGUAACGGCUUACCAAGGCAACGAUGCGUAGCCGACCUGAGAGGGUGAUCUGCCACACUGGAACUGAGACACGGUCCAGACUCCUACGGGAGGCAGCAGUAGGGAAUCUUCCGCAAUGGGCGAAAGCUUGACGGAGCAACGCCGCGUGAGUGAUGAAGGUCUUCGGAUCUUAAAACUCUGUUAUUAGGGAAGAACAAAUGUGUAAGUAACUAUGCACGUCUUGACGGUACCUAAUCAGAAAGCCACGGCUAACUACGUG